This is a long non-coding RNA of Raphanus sativus (radish), 1584 nucleotides long. RefSeq lists it as uncharacterized. NCBI's taxonomy places the organism in Eukaryota, Viridiplantae, Streptophyta, Magnoliopsida, Brassicales, Brassicaceae. The transcript is spliced from 4 exons. The record is from RefSeq and is a predicted model, not a curated record.
GAUGUGAGAUUGGGCUAUGAAAAUUCAAACUAUGUCCGGCCCGAUAGAAUGAAUGACGUCUCUGACCCUAAUACGGUCGUCUCUUCCACUUCGUGUGACGGUGAUUCGAUGCCGUUUGCGUUUCUUCCCAUGAUCUGAAACGUUCCGAGUAAAGGCUUCGUGUUUAAUCCCUUUGAUCUGAAAAGUGGUGUUUGUUCUGUAUAAAUAUGUAUGCCUCGGUGAUUCUGUGGUGGUACUCUAUACCCGUGUUGAAGGUUUUCUGGUCUGUUCUGAUAUCUCUCUAUGAAGUUGGAAGCUCAAGCCUCUUCUUGCCUCUCGGUGGUGGUUUUGUGCCACCGAAUAUUUCUUGCGGCGAAUAACCCUUGACGGUGGCUUUUUUGCCAAGACUGCAAAUCUUGAACGUGUCAUAAGAUCAGAGCUUUUGGUCAGGGUCAACAGCUAUGGCAAUCUUGGAUUACAAACUUUUAAAAGAAUGUUGUUCAAGCAGAUGUGAAAUAGAAGUAUUCAGACAUUUGGAGUUUUGUAGGAAGCAUGUAGCUCACAAUUUUUCUGUCAUUUUUAAAGGUAAUUUGUUUGUCUUCUCUAAUACAUUGCAUUAUAUGUCUCUUAAUUUUCUCUAGAUUAAUUACUAUUUGGGUCUGGUUAAUAUUUUGUUUUUUAGAUUUGGUGCAGUGCUCAUGAAUAGGUAGAACCUAAUACGGUACUUGAGAGAGGACUCGAAAGCUUGCUUGAUAAGGGUAUUCUCCAGUUUCUUAGUUUAAUGCUCAAAGCUUGACCGUAUGUUGAAAAUCUACAAAUCCGUACAAUACUCUCGCUGACAUCCUUACACAUUCUAAUAUUUCAAAGAAAAUUGAAACCAUAAAGCAGGAAAUUUCAAGCAUAUGCAUGAACGCUAAAUGGUUGGUAGGCAGAUAAGAGAUUAAGCAUAUGUGUUUUGUCUUAGACAGAUCAAAAAUUCUCAAUAUGCUUUUAGGUCAUAUAUUCCCUUGCCAACACAUGAUUUUUAGCAAAAGUAGUAGCAUUUACUCAAAUCAGUUUCUUCUCCUUAUUGAAUAGUGAUCGGUUUCUUACUGACAAAGUGAUCUACUUUAUCGAUGAAGAUGGGUCUUUUGUUCGACUUUGCCAUGUUCAGGUUCAUAGUUACAUGUUUUUCACAUCAUCAGUAAAUGUAUUUUUUUUUUCUUUUUAGUUAAUUCAGAUACUUAAGCUGGCGAAUAAAGAGGACCUACGGCCACUGAAUCAGACAUCUACAUUGUCUCCACCUGGACAUGAAUCCUGGUUGAUUAAGUCUGAUGAAUCUAUACGGUGCAGAGACUUCAUAGAAGAGUUAUUAGCCAAAACGAAGUUGUCCUAGCUAUUAUCCGAGCGAUCUGACGUCCAUGUGUUGGGCUCGAGAACCCAAACCAUCAAAUCCAAUGUUGUGAAUUUCUUAUAAGUAUUCUAUGAACUUUACAUUUUGUGUAGUAUUUCUUUUCAUUCUAUUUAGUUCUACAUAUAAUUUCCCUUGGUUAUGUUCGCUGAGAACAAAUUUGCAAACUGUACAUUUACAAAAUGUAGUUAUCAGUUGUCAUAUUUUUCUUUUUC